RNAcentral lists this transfer RNA (77 nucleotides) under Shewanella putrefaciens. RNAcentral describes it as "tRNA-Met". It matches the Rfam family "tRNA". Rfam says of the family: Transfer RNA (tRNA) molecules are approximately 80 nucleotides in length. Their secondary structure includes four short double-helical elements and three loops (D, anti-codon, and T loops). The record is from RNAcentral. Lineage: Bacteria; Pseudomonadati; Pseudomonadota; Gammaproteobacteria; Alteromonadales; Shewanellaceae.
CGCAGGAUGGAGCAGCAUGGUAGCUCGUCGGGCUCAUAACCCGAAGGUCGUCGGUUCAAAUCCGGCUCCCGCAACCA